AAGGUUAUUCGUUAUCCAUGGCAGGCCUUAUCUCAUUGGUUGGGCUGGUUGAAAGGCUGAUCUUUAGUUCAUUCCACGAUGCUCUAUCGGGUGAGCGAACAAGCUAUAGACUAGAAGACAUAGGGAAUAGGGAUUCGUUGAACUAUGUUCAACUCAUUUGAAACUCAUUUAGUCAAGCUAUGUUAGUGAAGCUAGUUAGUCAAGCUACGUUAGUGAAGCUAAUAGUUAGGACGCGCAUCCGUUUCCUUGGUAAGGCCACAAGUGGAAGCAACCGAUGCUUUGAUCAUUCAAUGGACUCCUUGCUGCCAGUCCGUGCUUGCUGUCAUGCUAGCAAAAGCAGGGGUUUCGGUCGGUUUUACCUACUAUUGG
This 369-nucleotide long non-coding RNA is filed under the name Nicotiana benthamiana. RNAcentral describes it as "long non-coding RNA (NBEN_LNC012347)". Lineage: Eukaryota; Viridiplantae; Streptophyta; Magnoliopsida; Solanales; Solanaceae. The record is from RNAcentral.